CCCAGUUCUUGCCUCUCUGUUCAUCUCAGAGUCCAUGAGAAAUCAGAGAUCAUCACAGACCACCCUUCUGCUUAAAUUAAUUAAUUAAAUUUAAUUAAAUUCCUGAAAUUAAGGAGAAACAAGUAUAGGAGGAAAGUUAAAACAGAAAGAAAAAAACACCUCUACAAUUAUGCUUUGCAAGAUCUUACAGAAAACAUAUCUCGUCAUCUACAAAGCAAUCCACAAAAGUGGCUUUCAGUAAGUGAUGGGGAAUAUUUAAACAGAUGCAAGACUCUCUACCAUAUCGGGCAGCUUCUAAAGUCUCUCACAGCAAUACCCAAAUGAUG
This 326-nucleotide long non-coding RNA is filed under the name Chinchilla lanigera (long-tailed chinchilla). RNAcentral's name for it is "lncRNA (ENSCLAG00000023173.1)". Lineage: Eukaryota; Metazoa; Chordata; Mammalia; Rodentia; Chinchillidae. The record is from RNAcentral.